Molecule: ribosomal RNA, 2364 nt
Filed under: Moorella sp. Hama-1
Lineage: Bacteria; Bacillati; Bacillota; Clostridia; Neomoorellales; Neomoorellaceae
Description: partial 23S ribosomal RNA
Rfam family: Bacterial large subunit ribosomal RNA
Source: RNAcentral
UCAAGCUAGUAAGGGCAUACGGUGGAUGCCUAGGCGCUAAGAGGCGAAGAAGGGCGUGGUAAGCUGCGAAAAGCCCCGGGGAGCCGCAAGCAGGCUUAGAUCCGGGGAUACCCGAAUGGGGCAACCCGCCUGGAGCAAUAUCCAGGCACCCUGUAGUGAAUUCAUAGGUACAGGGAGCUAACCGGGGGAACUGAAACAUCUUAGUACCCCGAGGAAGAGGAAGCAAACGCGAUUCCCCCAGUAGCGGCGAGCGAAGCGGGAAGAGCCCAAACCUUAUGCAUGGAGAAGGCUGCAACCGUUGUGCAUAAGGGGUCGAGGGGCUUCCAGGAGCAAUUGCAGGUGCUCGACAGGAGUGAAGUCCGUAGGAGAAGGGGACUGGAAAGUCCCGCCAUAGAAGGUAAUAGCCCUGUAUCCGAAACGGACUGAACAACUGGGAAGGACCCCAAGUACCGCGGGACACGAGGAAUCCCGUGGGAAUUCGGGAGGACCACCUUCCAAGGCUAAAUACUCCUUAGCGACCGAUAGUGCACUAGUACCGUGAGGGAAAGGUGAAAAGCACCCCGGGAGGGGAGUGAAAUAGAACCUGAAACCGUAUGCCCACAAGCAGUCAGAGGGCGUUAAAGCCUGAUGGCGUACUUUUUGUAGAACGGGCCGGCGAGUUACGUUAACGGGCGAGGUUAAGGGGAAGACCCGGAGCCGGAGCGAAAGCGAGUCUGAAGAGGGCGAUAGUCCGUUGACGUAGACCCGAAACCGGGUGAUCUACCCAUGGGCAGGGUGAAGCGAGAUUAAACUCUCGUGGAGGCCCGAACCGACCGACGUUGAAAAGUCGGCGGAUGACCUGUGGGUAGGGGUGAAAUGCCAAUCGAACCCGGAGAUAGCUGGUUCUCCCCGAAAUAGCUUUAGGGCUAGCCUCAAGGGUAGACUAACGGAGGUAGAGCACUGAUAAGGCUAGGGGCCUUACCAGGUUACCGAACCUUUUCAAACUCCGAAUGCCGUUAGGUGGUCCUUGGGAGUCAGACUGCGGGUGCAAAGAUUCGUAGUCGAGAGGGAAACAGCCCAGACCAACAGCUAAGGUCCCCAAAGACGGGCUAAGUGGAAAAGGAUGUAGAGUUGCUUAAACAACCAGGAUGUUGGCUUAGAAGCAGCCACCAUUUAAAGAGUGCGUAAUAGCUCACUGGUCGAGUGACUCUGCGCCGAAAAUUUAGCGGGGCUCAAGCCCGUUACCGAAGCUUUGGAUUCAGGAGGCAGGAUACUAGAGGCAGGAAGCAGGAGGCAAGGCAUGAUACAAAGCUAUGAGAACCUGGAGGUUUACCGAAAGGCAUAUAAAUUAGCUUUGGAAAUGCAUCAAGUUGCCUUGAGAUUUCCUGUUACGAGAGAUAUGAAUUAGGUAGCCAGUUAAGGAGAGCAUCGAAAUCUAUUCCGCUUAAUAUUGGCGAGGGAUAUGGGAAAAGAACUUCCGCAAAUGAGUUCAAACGCUAUCUUAGUAUGGCCAUAGGCUCAUGCGAUGAAGUAAAGAUUAUACUAACGUUUAGUAGAGAUUUAGGAUAUAUCUCGAACGAGCAAUAUGAGAACUAUCGCCAAGCCUAUAAUAUGGUAGGGAAGAUGCUAUACAAACUAUUUAAGAACUGGCACUAACUCUUGCAUCUUGCUUCUAGUAUCCUGCUUCCUGAAUGGUAGGGGAGCGUUCUGCAGGCGGCGAAGGUGUACCGUAAGGAGCGCUGGAGCCUGCAGAAGAGAGAAUGCCGGCAUAAGUAAGCGAGAAGGCAGGUGAGAAUCCUGCCCGCCGAAAACCUAAGGGUUCCUGGGGAAGGCUCGUCCACCCAGGGUAAGUCGGGACCUAAGCCGAGGCGAAGAGCGUAGGCGAUGGACAAUCGGUUGAAAUUCCGAUACCACCAAAGAGUCGUUAACAGGAAGGGGUGACGCAGGAGGGUAGGCCCAGCGCACCGUUGGUCGUGUGCGUCCAAGCCCGUAGGGUGUGAGGUAGGCAAAUCCGCCUCACAAGAAGCCCGAGAGGUGACGGGGAGCGAAAUUAAGUAGCGAACUGGCCGAGCCCAAACUGCCAAGAAAAGCCUCUAACGAGACUCGAGGUGCCCGUACCGUAAACCGACACAGGUAGGUGGGGAGAGGAUCCCAAGGCGCGCGAGCGAACCUUCGUUAAGGAACUCGGCAAAAUGACCCCGUAACUUCGGGAGAAGGGGUACCCCGUUAGGGUGAUAGUAGAACAUACUAAAGCCCGAGGGGGUCGCAGAGAAGUGGCCCAAGCGACUGUUUACCAAAAACACAGGUGCCUGCUAAAGCGUAAGCUGAAGUAUAGGUGCUGACGCCUGCCCGGUGCUGGAAGGUUAAGGGGAAGGGUUAGCAUUC